This 563-nucleotide ribosomal RNA is filed under the name uncultured fungus. RNAcentral's name for it is "eukaryotic LSU rRNA". The stretch from base 198 to 351 matches the Rfam family "5.8S ribosomal RNA". The record is from RNAcentral. Lineage: Eukaryota; Fungi.
AAGUCGUAACAAGGUCUCCGUUGGUGAACCAGCGGAGGGAUCAUUACCGAGUUUACAACUCCCAAACCCCUGUGAACCAUACCUAUCGUUGCUUCGGCGGGACCGCCCCGGGACUCGCUCCCGGAACCAGGCGCCCGCCGGGGACCGCAAACUCUUGUUUUUUCAGUAUCUUCUGAGUGGCAUUAUAAAUGAAUCAAAACUUUCAACAACGGAUCUCUUGGUUCUGGCAUCGAUGAAGAACGCAGCGAAAUGCGAUAAGUAAUGUGAAUUGCAGAAUUCAGUGAAUCAUCGAAUCUUUGAACGCACAUUGCGCCCGCCAGUACUCUGGCGGGCAUGCCUGUUCGAGCGUCAUUUCAACCCUCAGGCCCCCGGGCCUGGCGUUGGGGAUCGACCACCGCCGCCGUCAGCGCGGCAGGUCGUCCCCUAAACACAGUGGCGGUCACGCUGCGGCAUCCCCUGCGUAGUAGCACAACUCGCACCGGAUCGCGGCGCGGCCACGCCGUAAAACAACCCAAUUCUGAAAUGUUGACCUCGGAUCAGGUAGGGAUACCCGCUGAACUUAA